This 70-nucleotide transfer RNA is filed under the name Anaplecta sp. 1 ZQW-2020. Its description in RNAcentral is "tRNA-Lys". The record is from RNAcentral. Lineage: Eukaryota; Metazoa; Arthropoda; Insecta; Blattodea; Anaplectidae.
CAUUAGAUGACUGAAAGAAAGUAAUGGUCUCUUAAACCAAAUAAUAGUAAGUAACGACUACUUCUAAUGA